Molecule: non-coding RNA, 95 nt
Filed under: Jeotgalibacillus campisalis
Lineage: Bacteria; Bacillati; Bacillota; Bacilli; Caryophanales; Caryophanaceae
Description: c-di-GMP sequence
Rfam family: c-di-GMP-I riboswitch aptamer
About the family: GEMM was predicted in a large-scale screen for bacterial structured RNA regulatory elements. Genes associated with GEMM are involved in a diverse array of functions, including chemotaxis regulation, signal transduction, secretion and chitin.
Source: Rfam by way of RNAcentral
AACAGUUAAGGGCAAACCAGUUGAAAAAUUGGGACGCAAAGCUUACAGGUCUAAGGCAUACAGUUGGAGGGUGCUAUGACGGCUGAGCCGCCUGA